AAACAAUUAUGCAACUGGCGGAAAUAGCGAUUACUAUAGGGGAGCAUAAUUGAAUAGUAUCGACCGCCUGGGUAAAUAUA
Molecule: non-coding RNA, 80 nt
Filed under: Sporomusa sphaeroides
Lineage: Bacteria; Bacillati; Bacillota; Negativicutes; Selenomonadales; Sporomusaceae
Also listed under: 1 other name
Description: Sporomusa sp. ZTP sequence
Rfam family: ZMP/ZTP riboswitch aptamer (pfl RNA motif)
About the family: Previously known as pfl RNA.
Source: RNAcentral